RNAcentral lists this unclassified non-coding RNA (3077 nucleotides) under Hevea brasiliensis (rubber tree). Lineage: Eukaryota; Viridiplantae; Streptophyta; Magnoliopsida; Malpighiales; Euphorbiaceae. The record is from RNAcentral.
UCUCUCUCUCUCUCUCUCUUCCAAGGGGACGAAGGCAUCUUCAGCUAAGAGCCAAAUUUUCAGGAAAAGUCGUGAUCAUGAUCAUGAAUCAGCAAAGGCAGAUUUAUAAUAAUUCCAACGUCAACUGUUUUUAUGGGUCCAAAACCAAUCAAUUUUUCUCCCCUAAAAGAGCAUUAGCCACAUAUAUGCAACAUAAUGUGAUCUCAAUAUGCUUUAGCUAACUACUAUUUAGUAAUGAUAAUCUCUAAAAGUAUUUAAGGACCAUUAUUCCAAAACCAAUGCCAAGGAAAGUAGCAAUGGCAACUCCAAAAAUGCCUGCAAGAAUCCCAGGAACAACAAGAGAAUUCCAUCCUUUUGCAGAAGCCAUUCCACAUGCUGUUGUAGGGCCUCCUAUGUUGGCAUUUGAUGCCAAAAGUAACAGUUUUAAAUCAAAGUUCAAAAGUUUUCCAAGCCCUAGCACUACAGCAAGAUGCACAGUUACUUGAACUAGAGCAAACAAGAAAAUACUAGGCGCUGUAUUGAUGACAUUCCUUAUGCUCCCACUAGCGCCCACCACAGCAAAAAAAACCUGCAUCAGAACCAGAGCAAUGGUAUCACCAGCAGGUGCAAGAUGAGCAAAUUGUGUUGGAAAUGCUGUUGCUAAAAUGACCACCAUAGCUGUUAUUGCUGGAAGACUGCGUCCCUGAAUCUUACACAAUUGUGUAAGAUAUAUAGCAGUCUUACAUAUCACAAAGGAGACAGUAAGUGCUGUAGCCGACUGUAGUACAGGGAUUUUGCCUGCAGAAUUGGACUCCACAUCCAUUUCAACACCAAUAGUUGAUGCUGAAGCCUCAGGAGGAAUUUUAGAGGCCAAUGCAAAUAGCACCAUGAAGUAUAUUGCACAAAUAACAUUGUCAGCAGCUACUCCUGCGGCUACAACAGAUGGAGAUGUACCAAGUGCCUCAGAAAUUGCAACAUAAUUAACAGCUGAAACAACAAAGAACAUCAUAAUUUCCAAAAUGAAUUUGGUGAAAGAAAUGCAAACAUUAAAAAUGAACACAAAGGACAACAACACUAUAUUUGCUUGUGUAAAAUCAGGAUAUGCAGGUAGUAGCAUGUUACAUAUCAGAGAAGAAGACUGAGGCAGAAUAAGGGUUAGUUGAAUGAGUUGUAAGUGGCAGGAGAAUAGUUGUCAAGUAGUUAGUUGUAUGAGUUGUAUUUGGCGGGAAAAUGGUUGUCAAAUAGCUGUCAAGUAGUUAUAAACUCUAUUGUAGUUCAUUGUAAAGGCAUUCUGAUGCUUUCUCAAGAAAUAACAAUUCUCUCUCUUUUCUGAUUCUAUUUCUCUCCCCGUACUUCUUCUUAUUCCUUCCUAAAUUCUUCUAAUUCUUCUCUGUUAGGGUUUCACUCCUAACAUAGCAUGGCUCAGCAAAUCUUUUAUAAGCAUUGUACAAAUGCAGAAAUCUCUCAUACAAGAUUUCAGUCCUAAAUAUAAAAUUUUACCUCAAUAAAAGUACCACAGUACUAGCAUAGCACAAGUAAGAGGAAUUUCACCCGAGGAUAGUGACAAAGCUAAUUUUUUUAACUUGUAGAACCUUGAAGUAAAUACACAACACCAUUUUGCAACAACUUACAUCCCCCAAUAUAACUACCCAUAAGGGCAGCAGCUAUUUUCCAAUUAUCUGGACCAAGAGAUCGCAUAGGCACCAUUAGAAAAGCCACUGUAGUUCCAAAUAUGGUCGCAACUGUCAAGCAGAAAGGCAAGUUACUAAGCAUGAUAGAAAAUCAUAAAAAUGAAAUAAAUGAAGUAGUUUUAAAAAAUAAUAAUAAAAACUGCACAAGCUACAGUGUGAAAAGGGUAAUUCAGUGGAAAAAUGGUCAGAUGUUUCCUAUGUUAUUGUAUAUAGAAAUACUAAUUUGAAAUUGACAAUAAGCUAUUAACUUUAGUGUUAAGUUCUAGUAUAUAGCAAACAGCUUACCACAAGAUCAUAAAGUACACAAGUUGAAGUUCUAAACCAAUUCAGAACUACAGGCUACUGCAUCAUAUAUCAUCUCUAACACAUGCAAGGCACAACGUACAUUUAACAGCAAACUGAGCACAUUCAGCAGCUGGAAAGAACAUCAUCAUUAAAAGGUCACUCCCUCAAAAGCCAACCACAGAGAAGUUCCGGUUCCUUUGCAAUGUGCAUGCACCAAAAGCAGCAUUUUCCAGUAAAAGAUCCCAUGCCAAAUCCAUUUAUGUGACUAGUUUUAUGCAAUGUUAUGCAUAAACAUUCUCUUAGAAGAUGUCAUAGUCAUGAGACAGAGCGUUUUAUAGACUAACUCUAUAGAAGGAAAAAGAGGAAAUUAAAAAGAAAGAGCUUAGCUUGAGAUAAAAAUGGCAUAAACAUAAAGAAACUUACAGGACUUAAAAACACCCUAGUCUUUCAUAAUCUGCUCCGUCAUUAACAUCCUGGAACUCAUAGACAUCUUCAGUACUCAAACACUAGGAUCCUAUUGGUUCCAUCAGCUAGCCUAUAGAUCAGACUCUUUGAUUCCCAGUAAUACACUGCUGAAAGCACACAAUUUCUUUGUCAUCAAUCCCUAAUGUGUUAGCUAGCAUAUCAAGACAAGACUUUGUUCAACUGUUCUACUGUUUAAGAGCAUCUGAAACAUUUUUCAGCAUUAUUCAGAUUUUGAAUUCCCAACAAAAUAUACCAGACCCAUGUCCCAAUUCCAUCUUAUCCUUCAUAAGAAUUUGCUUUCUUAUUAUGUUCAUUAGGUACAUUAUGUGAACAAAAAUAUAUAUGAUUCCAAAUCCAUAGAGAUGACAAUUAAGAAACACAAGCCGCUCACACUUCAUGGAGAAGUAAAAGAUAAUAGAGGAGUCAUUUAACCUGAACCGAGCAAGAAAGCCAUGAGCAAUGUCCCUGUUGAACGGAUCACUUGACGCAAGUCUGCUCUAAACAAGAGCAAAGGAACCGCUAGUGGCACUAGGAACUCCAAGACAACGGAAUACGCCGCCGUUUUAUAAGGAAUGAUUCCGAGAUUACUCGCUGCUAGCCCAACCAAUGUGCUCACUAAGGGCGCACUCACCAUGCUCCCAAUCUUGGUCCUUUCAG